UGCGCAUGCUCACUUAAGGCGUUCUUCCCUUACCAGCUGAAAGUUUCUAGACGAAGGGCAUAUACCAGUUAAACUCCGCCAUUUUGCCUCUCAGUGUUCAAGCUUGAGCCCACGCAUCCAACUCCUGAGAUCUUACUGGGAAGCUGCUGAUCAUCAGUUUCAGGAAGUCAGCAUGGAUCAGCCUUACGUUCAUGGCCUCCAGGCCCUAUUCUCCUGCCUCACAGGGACCGGCCAGGAUCUCUAUCCUUACAGCACGUUGGAAUGUAUAUGCUCCUCUCCCCACAUCGCCUUAGGGAGCAGGCAGGUGUCAGGGGCAGCACAAGGACGGCCAACAGGACAGAAGACGGGUUGAAGAUCCGAGAGGCUGAGUCACUUCCACAAAGUAACACAGCUGAUUUUAAAUGCCUGCAUUCAGCAUCCCUGCAGCAGGCUCCAGGUGGAAUUCUAAUGGGACCAGCCUCCAGUCCCUGGACCUUAGCCGUGGAAGGAGAGAAGAGGACAUCUGCACCUCCUCUCAGAGAAAGCCUGAUGCCUACUAAAGGACUUGGGUGGUGGACGCAGUGACCCUCAGUCUGGAGCUUGUUCACUGAACAUUGGAGACUAUCAUUUGCGCAGAUGGUCUUGGGCCUCUAUGAGCAGCAGGCUGCACCCCACAGUGACCUCCUCAUUCUACUCUGAGGCAUCUUCAUGAAAGCAGAUGUCCAUUGAAAAGCACCCAAGUGCAGUCUCAGCUGAUGAACUUCAGAGGCGAUUGAGACAAAGGCUCUCGGUCCCCUCUGCCCUUGGAUGGUGCCUCUGGUAUGCACUUGGCCUCUGUGUCUUUAUUUAGACUGGUCACUUCACAACCCAUCAUGUCACCCCACCCCUAACCGUGCCCACUCUGGGUCCUCCCCUCAACUGCCUGACUUCCCACUUUGAGCUCAGCAAAGGCAAUAGAUGUUUUGUCUGCUUCGAUACCCUAAAUGCAUGGCGUGGAAGCUGGCACACAGUGGGCCCUUGAAAUUUGGGAGUGAAUAUGUAUAUAUAUUAUAUUCCAACCUCAACUUUCCUCACUGCUCCUCAUAGUAGGAAUGGAUUGUAAAACUUCCCAGAAUGUUCAAGAGGAGAAAGGAGAGAAAACAGCCUGGAAUUUGAGCUAAGGGGCCCACAGCCCAGCCACCAAGCCAUCUGUAAAAUGGGGUGGGAAUAUGACAUGAGCCACAGGGGUGCUAUGAGGGUUAAUGAGGUCACCGUGCGAUGUACCAUGCCAACAUGAAUAACCAGACCUCUUGAUAUCAUCAU
Molecule: long non-coding RNA, 1281 nt
Filed under: Homo sapiens (human)
Lineage: Eukaryota; Metazoa; Chordata; Mammalia; Primates; Hominidae
Description: long intergenic non-protein coding RNA 2318
Source: RNAcentral